UACGUAGGGACCGAGCGUUGUCCGGAAUCAUUGGGCGUAAAGAGCGUGUAGGCGGCCCUUUAAGUCCUGCGUGAAAUCCUGCGGCUCAACCGCAGACGGUCGUGGGAAACUGGAGGGCUAGAGUGCGGGAGAGGAGAGUGGAAUUCCCGGUGUAGCGGUGAAAUGCGCAGAUAUCAGGAAGAACACCUAUGGCGAAGGCAGCUCUCUGGGACGGUACUGACGCUGAGACGCGAAAGCGUGGGGAGCGAACAGG
This 253-nucleotide ribosomal RNA is filed under the name uncultured bacterium. RNAcentral describes it as "partial 16S ribosomal RNA". It matches the Rfam family "Bacterial small subunit ribosomal RNA", at positions 524 to 776 of the family's 1533-position model. The record is from RNAcentral.